GGGUGCGAUCGUACCAGCACUAAAGCACCAGAUCUCAUCAGAACUCCACAGUUCAGUGUGCUUGGGCGAGCGUAGUACUAGGAUAGGUGACCUCCUGGGAAGUCCUCGUGUUACACCCC
Non-coding RNA from Gossypium arboreum, 119 nucleotides. NCBI's taxonomy places the organism in Eukaryota, Viridiplantae, Streptophyta, Magnoliopsida, Malvales, Malvaceae. The record is from Rfam.